AACGAACGCUGGCGGCAGGCUUAACACAUGCCAGUCGAGCGCCCCGCAAGGGGAGCGGCAGACGGGUGAGUAACGCGUGGGAACGUACCUUUUGGUUCUGAACAACUCCGGGAAACUGGAGCUAAUACCGGAUAAGCCCUAACGGGGAAAGAUUUAUCGCCGAAAGAUCGGCCCGCGUCUGAUUAGCUAGUUGGUGAGGUAACGGCUCACCAAGGCGACGAUCAGUAGCUCGUCUGAGAAGAUGAUCAGCCACACUGGGACUGAGACACGGACCAGACUCCUACGGGAGGCAGCAGUGGGGAAUAUUGGCCAAUGGGCGCAAGCCUGAUACAGCCAUGCCGCGUGAGUGAUGAAGGCCUUAGGGUUGUAAAGCUCUUUUGUCCGGGAAGAUAAUGACUGUACCGGAAGAAUAAGCCCCGGCUAACUUCGUG
This 431-nucleotide ribosomal RNA is filed under the name uncultured bacterium. RNAcentral describes it as "partial 16S ribosomal RNA". It matches the Rfam family "Bacterial small subunit ribosomal RNA", at positions 29 to 507 of the family's 1533-position model. The record is from RNAcentral.